This 502-nucleotide ribosomal RNA is filed under the name uncultured bacterium. RNAcentral's name for it is "partial 16S ribosomal RNA". It matches the Rfam family "Bacterial small subunit ribosomal RNA", at positions 28 to 507 of the family's 1533-position model. The record is from RNAcentral.
GACGAACGCUGGCGGCGUGCUUAACACAUGCAAGUCGAACGGUGAAGGGGCCUGCUUUUGUGGGCCCUGGAUGAGUGGCGAACGGGUGAGUAACACGUGAGUAACCUGCCCCCUUCUUCUGGAUAACCGCAUGAAAGUGUGGCUAAUACGGGAUAUUCUGGGUCUGUCGCAUGAUGGGUCUGGGAAAGAUUGCGCCUUUGGGUGUUUUUGGUGGGGGAUGGGCUCGCGGCCUAUCAGCUUGUUGGUGGGGUGAUGGCCUACCAAGGCGGUGACGGGUAGCCGGCCGGAGGGGGUGGACGGUCACACUGGGACUGAGACACGGCCCAGACUCCUACGGGAGGCAGCAGUGGGGAAUAUUGCACAAUGGGCGCAAGCCUGAUGCAGCGACGCCGCGUGAGGGAUGGAGGCCUUCGGGUUGUAAACCUCUUUCGCCAGUGAAGCAGGCCUGCUCCUUGUGGGUGGGUUGACGGUAGCUGGAUAAGAAGCGCCGGCUAACUACGUG